Cynocephalus volans (Philippine flying lemur) is the source of this 207-nucleotide small nucleolar RNA. RefSeq annotates it as small nucleolar RNA U3. The transcript has a single exon. NCBI's taxonomy places the organism in Eukaryota, Metazoa, Chordata, Mammalia, Dermoptera, Cynocephalidae. The record is from RefSeq and is a predicted model, not a curated record.
AAGACUGUACUUUAAGGGAUCAUUUCUAUAGUUUAUUAUUAGAGAAGUUUCUCUGAAUGUGUAGCGUACCAAAACCCACGAGGUGGUACAGCGUUCUCUCCUGAACAUGAAGCCGGCUCUUGGUAUUGCUUUGCUGCAACUGCCAUUUGCCAUUGAUCAUUCUCCUCCUUUGGGAGGGAAAGAGGGAAAGAUCACAGUCUGAGUUGC